GGCCUAACACAUGCAAGUCGAGCGGCCGUAGCAAUACGGCAGCGGCAGACGGGAGAGUAACACGUGGGAACGCGCCCUUCGGUCUGGAAUAACCCAGGGAAACUUGGGCUAAUACCGGAUACGCCCUUACGGGGAAAGAUUUAUUGCCGAAGGAACGGCCCGCGUCCGAUUAGCUAGUUGGUGAGGUAACGGCUCACCAAGGCGACGAUCGGUAGCUGGUCUGAGAGGAUGACCAGCCUCACUGGGACUGAGACACGGCCCAGACUCCUACGGGAGGCAGCAGUGGGGAAUAUUGGACAAUGGGCGCAAGCCUGAUCCAGCCAUGCCGCGUGGGUGAUGAAGGCCCUAGGGUUGUAAAGCCCUUUCAGCGGGGAAGAUAAUGACGGUACCCGCAGAAGAAGCCCCGGCUAACUUCGUGCCAGCAGCCGCGGUAAUACGAAGGGGGCUAGCGUUGCUCGGAAUUACUGGGCGUAAAGCGCACGUAGGCGGCUUUCUAAGUCGGGGGUGAAAUCCUGGAGCUCAACUCCAGAACUGCCUUCGAUACUGGAAAGCUCGAGUCCGGGAGAGGUGAGUGGAACUGCGAGUGUAGAGGUGAAAUUCGUAGAUAUUCGCAAGAACACCAGUGG
Molecule: ribosomal RNA, 626 nt
Filed under: uncultured soil bacterium
Lineage: Bacteria
Description: bacterial SSU rRNA
Rfam family: Bacterial small subunit ribosomal RNA
Source: RNAcentral